AUCGAACGCUGGCGGCAGGCCUAACACAUGCAAGUCGAACGAACCUUUCGGGGUUAGUGGCGGACGGGUGAGUAACACGUGGGAACGUGCCUUUAGGUUCGGAAUAACUCAGGGAAACUUGUGCUAAUACCGAAUGUGCCCUUCGGGGGAAAGAUUAAUCGCCUUUAGAGCGGCCCGCGUCUGAUUAGCUAGUUGGUUGAGGUAAUGGCUCACCAAGGCGACGAUCAGUAGCUGGUCUGAGAGGAUGGUCAGCCACAUUGGGACUGAGACACGGCCCAAACUCCUACGGGAGGCAGCAGUGGGGAAUCUUGCGCAAUGGGCGAAAGCCUGACGCAGCCAUGCCGCGUGAAUGAUGAAGGUCUUGGGAUUGUAAAAUUCUUUCACCGGGGACGAUAAUGACGGUACCCGGAGAAGAAGCCCCGGCUAACUUCGUG
This 434-nucleotide ribosomal RNA is filed under the name uncultured bacterium. Its description in RNAcentral is "partial 16S ribosomal RNA". It matches the Rfam family "Bacterial small subunit ribosomal RNA", at positions 30 to 507 of the family's 1533-position model. The record is from RNAcentral.